CCAGUGAUGAAAGAAUGUAAGUAUUCUCUGUAAGCGUUUGUAAGCACAUUAUAUUAAAUCUAGAAGCUGGUUGCUUGAAAGAACACUUCUUUCUUUUAACUUUUUAUUCCUCUACAGCAUUGCAACAAUGUCCUGUCUGCACAAAAAUGUUUUCCACUGACUUAAUUGAGGUACAUGCUUCCUCGUGUGGAGAAGGUGCAGGAAAUGAGGGAAUGCAUGAAGGUACUGUCAGUGAGGAGGAGCAAGCAGCAAUGCCAGGACCAUCUGGAGCUUUUCCAGCAGUCAGUGAUGGCUGGCUAACUAUCAGUGACCCUAUUAAGGCUAUAUCUGCCUGCACAGCUUAUUUUCUCCAUAUUCAUGAAAUGGAAAGUCCAUUACUUCUAAGCAUGGACAUGAGAAAGAGUCCUGCUGAACAGGAUCUGGCACUUAUUUCUUUCUACAAGCGGCCUAAUGUGGAAUGGGCACGUCCCCUGAAUUGCAGACUUGAAGGAGAUACUGCUAUUGGAGAGGGAGUCACUUGCUUUUUC
Melanotaenia boesemani (Boeseman's rainbowfish) is the source of this 527-nucleotide long non-coding RNA. RefSeq lists it as uncharacterized. NCBI's taxonomy places the organism in Eukaryota, Metazoa, Chordata, Actinopteri, Atheriniformes, Melanotaeniidae. The transcript is spliced from 4 exons. The record is from RefSeq and is a predicted model, not a curated record.